RNAcentral lists this non-coding RNA (148 nucleotides) under Homo sapiens (human). The record is from Rfam by way of RNAcentral. Lineage: Eukaryota; Metazoa; Chordata; Mammalia; Primates; Hominidae.
GCCGGGCGUGGUGGUGCGCGCCUGUAGUCCCAUCUCCUCGGGAGGCUGAGACAGAAGAAUCACUUGAACCCAGGAGGCAGAGAUUGUAGUGAGCCGAGAUCGUGCCAUUGCACUCCAGCCUGGGUGACAGAGUGAGAUUCUGUCUUCA